RNAcentral lists this ribosomal RNA (116 nucleotides) under Pseudomonas aeruginosa. The record is from RNAcentral. Lineage: Bacteria; Pseudomonadati; Pseudomonadota; Gammaproteobacteria; Pseudomonadales; Pseudomonadaceae.
CUUGACGAUCAUAGAGCGUUGGAACCACCUUAUCCCUUCCCGAACUCAGACGUGACACGCCGCAUCGCCGAUGGGAGUGUGGGGUCGCCCCAUGUGAGAGGAGGUCAUCGUCAAGC